AAAGGAACCUGACCGGAUACAAGAAGGGACAACAUACUCACCAGCCAAUGCCCGGCGUACCGCCCGCAGCAUAACAAGUGUAGACAGUCCUGGCAGAAGACAAAGAAUUCAGCGUCCACUGUGUCUUUCUAAGGUGUUCCAGGCGCCCCCUGCUGGGCGUUCUGAGGAACUGCAGCCAGGACCUGUGAGGAAAGCACGUGUAGGUGAGCCCACGCUCCACCAGAAGGCAGCCGAGAUAAGUAACCGGCAGAGAGAAGAGGAGACCCAGAGAGUGAAGAGCUGAAGGCAGAGAAGACCCAGAAGAGACAGGAACAGGUAAGAGCAGGGGAGGAACAGAGCAAGAAGGAAGGAGGGAACAGCGA
Pelobates cultripes (western spadefoot toad) is the source of this 362-nucleotide non-coding RNA. The record is from the annotation of a GenBank genome assembly. NCBI's taxonomy places the organism in Eukaryota, Metazoa, Chordata, Amphibia, Anura, Pelobatidae.